Molecule: long non-coding RNA, 284 nt
Filed under: Homo sapiens (human)
Lineage: Eukaryota; Metazoa; Chordata; Mammalia; Primates; Hominidae
Description: non-protein coding lnc-C11orf95-6:1
Source: RNAcentral
GCCGGGUGUGGUGGCGGGCGCCUGUAGUCCCAGCUACUCGGGAAGCUGAGGCAGGAGAAUCGCUUGAACCUGGGAAGCGGAGCUUGCAGUGAGCGGAGAUCGUGCCGCUGCACUCCAACCUGGGCGACAGAGUGAGACUCUGUCUGAAAAAAAUAAAAAAUAAAAAUAAAAAUAAAAAAUGAGAUAUGAGACAGAGUUUCGUUCUUGCUGCCCAGGCUGGAGUGCAGUGGCGCAAUCUCGCCUCACUGCAACCUCCGCCUUCUGGGUUCAAGUGAUUCUCCUGC